GAAAGGUGAGUUCAUGAGCGGUCUCCGUUGCUCUCCUGCUGGGAACUGGCAGUUUGGUAACCGUGAGAAGCUCGUGUCACUUCUUACUGACACAGCGGUCUGUGGCAGCUUUAUCAAGAAUGGCAAUGUAUAAAAGCAGUUGUUCUGGGACCAGACAGCACCUGGAGAAGCUGAGCAGGUCCCUGAGCGGAACCAGCUGUUAUAUUUUGUGACACUGGACUUGGAUAUGA
Nothoprocta perdicaria is the source of this 230-nucleotide long non-coding RNA. RefSeq lists it as uncharacterized. NCBI's taxonomy places the organism in Eukaryota, Metazoa, Chordata, Aves, Tinamiformes, Tinamidae. The record is from RefSeq and is a predicted model, not a curated record. The transcript is spliced from 2 exons.